Long non-coding RNA from Helianthus annuus (common sunflower), 3488 nucleotides. RefSeq lists it as uncharacterized. Lineage: Eukaryota; Viridiplantae; Streptophyta; Magnoliopsida; Asterales; Asteraceae. The record is from RefSeq and is a predicted model, not a curated record. The transcript is spliced from 9 exons.
UGUGAGACUUCAUUUUUUCCUUCCGUAAAAUCGAUCAACCCUAACCAAUCUCAUCACCGUUCGUCCCUGUUUCGUCAUUUGUUUCCAUCAUCAACAUCUUAAUCGUUGUAAAGGUAUGUUUCUUCAUCAGAGUUCCAUCAUCGCUGAGUAUAUAAGGGUUCUAAAAUACCUAAAUCCAUCAUUUCAUUCAACAUAUGUUUCUCUUCCUGCGUCUCCGUCACAAACCCUAAUGACGAACACCUCUAUCAAAAUCAGCUUUCUUCUUUGUCGUUUCACAUCUGAUCAUCUUCAAGUACAUGCCUUAUGAGGUUCGAUUUUUGAAGGUGUACGAUGAGUUGCGGCGGCUAGGGUUCCGCUGGAACCCAACGACUUAGAUGAUCAGAGGUUAUCUUUCUUUGUUAUAUCUGAUUUGGAGUUCCUUUGCUUUUGGAUUUGCAAGUAAGUUUUUUGUGUUAGUUUUUUUUAAUGUUUGUGAAAAUGACUGUAUAUUGUAUGAAGAAUAAAUUUCGGUAAAUUAUACUUCGUAUCCCACUCCAAAUUUUAAUAUGGGAUGCUUGAUUUUAUUAAAGAAAAUCAUGUGCAUUACCUCCUACUUUUAGGAAUGUCAUUAGUGUACAUUUGGUUGUAAGAAGGCUGCAAAGAGGAGGUUUGUAAGAGCAUUUUUUCCUGUUAUUAUUUUAGUCCUAAUUUUUUAUAGUGUAUAUUUACUCUCUAUCUUAACUACAGGUGAGGGUGAAAUGGGUAUUAGUGAGCAUAUGAUAAAUCCUAAAACUUGCUUUACUAGGUUUUAUGUUUUAUAACUAUAUUGAGCCGAAUCGAUGACAUAUAUGUUUUUUGUGUAUUUUUUAUGUUGAUGGUCUAAUAUAUUUUAGUGUCUGCUACUGUAUUGUGUCAACUUUGUUACGCCAAAUGGAUUCAAUCUUGAAAGAAGGUAUUAGUCGUUGUUGUUUGAAAGAUAAGAUCGACAAUUGAGCCAAGCAUUUUGGUGGUGUUGUUGUACUCAAGCUCUGUCAAAAUUUUCAACUAUUAUUUAAUUUAUGAUUAGAAAUGACCUGUGUAAAUGUGAUUAAGUGAGGAUAUAUGUAAUGGAAACUUACUUGGUGAAACAUAUGUUAACUAGAAUUUAGCAUUAUACCUGUGGUUGAUAGUGAAAUAUUGGUAAAUAUUAGAUGAAAGCUUACCAUAAACUUAGACAAGAUUAGUUGGUGAAAUGUUAAUGAUUGAUGAAAAUUGAUAAUUAACCACAAACUAAAGAAGUUUAGCUGACCACAAAGUUAGACAAGAUUAGAUGGGAGUUUUCUUAUUAAGCCCCUCUUUAUAUAUUAAUGCUUCUUUAUAACUACACCCAUUCGUAUUUAGGCAAUGACUCUUAUUUCUAAACUUGAAACUUAAUUGAGUUUUUUAAUUGACUGGUAAUUGAUGUUUUUGUAAAUGUAUGAAUGCUUAUUGGUAUUUCUAUGACUGUUUUUUCAUGUCUACAAUAUAGCCACUGAUGUCUUCUGUAAAGAUUUUGUUCGCAAGAAACGACCCCUGUAGGAACUUACUUUGCAAUAAACUGGUUUGCUUCCUUUUCUCCUACACCUAAGUUCCCCUUCUGGAUUUGUUUUUUUUCUUGAUGUGAUAGUCAUUUGCACCAAUCUUUAUCCAAAUUUCGUUUUCUUAUUAUUGAACGGGUAUCACAUUUAGGACAGAUCAUGGCGCGAUCGUUAUAUGGUUGAAAAUCAGUUGCAUGAGCUAUGUGAAGUUGCAGGUCUGGAACCUACCAAGUGUGUUUGUCCUAUAUAUAUUGAUGUUCCUAUUUUUUAAAGUGAGUUGUUGAAUAAGAUCAUUGGACACUGUUAGAAGACAAAUGCAAAUGAGGGGUACCCCUUACAAGAGUGUUUUAGAUGCCUUUCCUGGUAUUGUUGCUCGUGAUGGUGUAGCUGGAUUAUACAGGGGUUUUGUACCAAACGCUUUAAAAACCUUACUAAAAAGCAGAUGGGCUUAAAAAAACAAAGCAACAAUGUGUUGGUGACUUUGUUUUAAAAAGCGAGAAGCACACCAAGUCAACAUGGUCUAAAACGCGAGGCUCAACCGCGCAAGGUGAUGUAUGAACCUUUUUUGCCGAUUAUGACCUAAAUAGGCAUCUUAUGAACCUUUUUCUUGCUGCUCAUUAUGCACAGUUAAUUUAAAAAAAAUCACUGCUUAAGUGCUGGCAACAUCUGAUAUGUUUUCAUAUAAGUGAAGCAAUUUUCUCCCUCUCGAUCUUACUGGUAUAUUUUCAGGAAGUUGCUGUUAAAAAGAUGACUGCUACGAAAACUAAAGAGUUCAUAGCAGAAAUGAAACUUUUGUGCAAGGUUCAUCAUACAAAUUUGAACUUAUUGGUUACGCUGCUAGCAAUGAUGAGCUUUUCCUCAUUUAUGAGUAUGCUCAAAAGGGUUCACUUGGAAGUCACUUACAUGAUCCUCAAAACAAGGGUCAUCCUACAUUAUCUUGGAUAAUGCGGGUUUAAAUUGCAUUAGACACGGCAAGGGGGCUGGAAUACAUACAUGAGCACACUAAGCCUCAUUAUGUCCAUAGAGAUGUUAAAACAAGCAACAUUUUACUUGACAGUGCCUUCAAAGCCAAGAUUUCAGAUUUUGGUUGGCAAAAGUUGUUGGAAUACCUAAUGAUGGAGAAGCUUCAACUACAAGAGUGGUUGGAACUUUUGGUUAUUUAGCUCCAGAAUACCUCAGGGAUGGUUUAGCUACAACAAAAAGUGAUGUAUAUGCAUUUGGUGUUGUUCUUUUCGAGUUAAUAUCAGCAAGGGUACAACUUAUGGAUCAUAAAUUGGCAGCCCUUAUGCAGGUUUUAUCUUCUGUUUCCUUCUCGCAAAAACAAGAUGUUUGGGUUUGGAAAGGGUCGGAUUCGGAUCCUCUUUCGGUUGCGGGGUUACGGGCCAAAAUUCAUGACUUUAAUAGUCAAAAUUGUAGCCGGUGGCCGUAUUGGAAUUCUUGGGUCCCCCCAAUCAAUAUAUUUUUUUUGGAGGGCAUCCAUGAAUCAGAUUCCAUCCAAGACGGGGCUUUCGUAUAGAGGCGUUGUGUUGGGAGAUAUGUUAUGUUCCAGGUGCGCCAUAAGAGAAGAGACAGUUAAUCACAUUUUGUGGGAUUGCUUAUUUGCAAAAUCAGUUUGGUGGUCAAUUUUCAAUUGGAUAAAGCUUCCUUUUCCGGAGCAGCCGACUACGGUUCAAGAGAUUUUGGCGAAUGCGGUUGAGACGAAUGGAUCAAAGACUUGGAAGAAAUUAAUAGGGGCCGUGAUUCAAGUUACGGCGUGGGAGAUAUGGAAAGUGCGAAAUGAAAAACUUUCAACGAGCGGCAAAUUCAUUUCAAUCGAACGCCCGAUUCAAUAAAAGAAAAUGUUUUUCUUUUUGUUACAGGUAGAUCAAAUUUUUGUAAUCUUGAGUGGGAAAGGUGGAUUGAUUUUAACAUUCGUGAUGUAAUUUUGUAAUCUUGGGUCUCGGUUUUUUGCUG